Molecule: long non-coding RNA, 769 nt
Organism: Brassica napus (rape)
Lineage: Eukaryota; Viridiplantae; Streptophyta; Magnoliopsida; Brassicales; Brassicaceae
Exons: 2
Source: RefSeq, a predicted model, not a curated record
UAUUCGUGUUUUUAAGUCGGGUAUCAAUCGGUUUUUAUCGGGUCGAGUCUGUUCGGGUCGGUUCUUUUCGGUUCCGGGUUUUGGACCCAAUAGUUAUUUAUAAAUUUUUGUUUUGUUUAGGUUCGGAUAUUCAGGGUCGUUUCCGGUUCGGGUACAGUCCAAAUUAACAGCAAACCUCGGUUUCUCUCGGUCUCUGUCUCUGCUUCUUCUCCAAUCUCGAUUGAUGUUUGUUUAGAUUUAUUUUAGGGGAGAGGGUCAUUUCGUGCUUGGAGAUAGAAAGGUCUAUGCGUGCGUGCUAUGAUGUUGAUCAUGAAAAUUGAAAUUUGAAGAAUAUUAUAAUCAUGACGGGCACCAACAUUAUGAUAUGAAAAAAAGGGAAUAAUAUAGGAUGGUUCAGGAAUAAUCUUCUAAUUUUUUCUUUCUAUAAAAGAUUGAGAGACGUUUACCUUUUGGGGCGGCAUGGUUAGUAGUGGUAGUGGUGUUACACACCUUUUCUAAUAUCCCUCUCAAUGUUUGUAUUUUAGUUUUUCUGUUAUUUUAUUUUUGUAUUUCCCUUUUUUUUAGUUUUAUUGAUUUCUUGCAUAUCUUCUUAUGUUUUCUAUUAUGCCAAGCGGAAGGCACAAUUAACAUUAGAUAGUGGUCAUAAAGAUCGAUUUGCUAUUUUGUUAGAAAGGCAUACUGUUUAUUUUGUUUGACUUCUAAUUUUUGUGGAUUAUAAAAAUCAUCGAUGCUGUUGAAGUCUUGUUUAAAAAUAAUACUAAUUUACUAA